RNA transcript from Chelonia mydas (Green sea turtle), 2271 nucleotides. It is a transcript of the gene named alpha-2-macroglobulin-like protein 1, with no coding region annotated. Lineage: Eukaryota; Metazoa; Chordata; Testudines; Cheloniidae. The transcript has 8 exons. The record is from RefSeq and is a predicted model, not a curated record.
GAUGCAAUUAGUCCUGCCAGAGCAGCUUGGACAGCUCAGAGCACUGGCUCUGUCACCUGUCAGGUUACCUGCAUGCAGGCCGGAGAGCAGGUGAGGUGGGCCUUGGCUCUGCCACUCCCUCCUCGAUAAGCCAGGCAUGCAUCUUGAUGUUCAGGAUCCUUCUUUAUUAGUCAUUAAUAACUAUUAUUAAUAAUUUGCGUGAUUAAAUUUCACCCAGUCCCUCUUUUUUUCCUUUGAUUUGCAGUCAAGGCGCGAAUUGUAACCUUGGAUCAGAACUUUAUUGCCAGCAAUGAAUCGCACCACCUGGUAGAGCUGCAGGACCCCAAAGGAAAUUGCAUUGGUCAGUGGUUGAACGUGACCCCAUAUCGAGGCAUUGUGGAUCUAUCCUUCCCAUUGGCUGCAGAAGCACCUUUAGGAGAAUACACCAUCAAUAUGCCUGGCCUCAAGAACACCUUCAAUGUAGAGGAAUAUGAUGAACAGGGAUGGCUGCCUCGCUGCAGUGGUGGACACUGAAGUCUAUAACCUGACUCUUCAGAACAGUUACCAGUUCAGUCUAGAUGCUGUGGCUUCCCUGGAAGAAAGUGGAACAGGGUUGGAGUUCAAUGCCACUCAGAGCUGCAGGGUAACUUCAUCCGUCACUACGCUCCAGUUUUUGGAUAAUAACAUCUACUACCUGCCAGGAGUGCCAUACCAUGGGAGGCUGAAGCUCAGCAGUGCCACUGGGAUGCCGUUGAAGAACGCAGAGGUUUUUCUCACUAUAUACCACAGGAGCAAAAUGCAGACUGAGACCUACGUCACGGAUGACACAGGGGUGGCCUCUUUCACCUUGGACACUUCACUGUGGAAAGACAGCGACAAGGUCUCACUACAGCCUUGUCAGGUGGACAUCUAGCCCCAAUACUUGAGACAGUGCAGAGUCCACCCUGUGGACAGCAUCAGGCCGGGCUGGGCAAGAACUGGGAGGUACCUUCAAAGCACACCGCUGCCCUUUCUCUGUCCCAGUCGAAGUCCACGCUGGAGAUCCAAGGUACAGCUUUACGAAGGUGGUCCCAUCUUAUAGCACGGCCUUCUGCUCACUGAGGCCCUUCUAGUCGUCCAGCAACAGCGCAGUGAAGAUCCACCCUGCACAGGGCAUGCCGCCUUGCGGAGGCACGCAGCAGCUCACCGGUCACUAUCCUGUCCUGGCAAAGGAGCUGGAAGAGGGGGCUGCCCUGGUGAAAUUCUACCACCUGGUGAGCCCACAGAGAGUGGCAGUGAGCACAGGGGGCGACACAUCCCUCCCCUGGGGAUUUCCGAGUUACUGCCUCAGCAAAACAUGGAGACGUGAAACCCUCAGCCCACUUCUGUGUAUGUGUCUUCUCAGGUCUUGGCCAGAGGCUCCCUUGUUCUUCACGGCCAGAGUACAGUCCCUCUUGAUGUCCAGUUAGUUACCUACUGGGUGAAAAGAGACUGUUUGUUCUCAAGACAGGCUAAGACCAGGUGUAAAUGGUGCCUACGGUUCCAUAUCAGUGGAGCUCUUGAGAAGACAAUGGCAAAUCCAAUUGCCUGGACAUGGACACCUAACAAGCAACACCAUGGAGGGAUACGGAUUCCCCACCUCUCUGCCAGGAGGCUGAGCCGCAUCUCCCAGCUCAGGAUCAAAGGACUGUGGGGGUAUAAGGAGGAAGUUAAGUGUUGGCGGUGGGAAGCAGUCCUGGCACAACUGAACUGGGACAAAGAGAGGUCACAGGGACAGGGCUUUGGGCUCAGUGCUGACCAGGAUGGACUGUGCUGUAACUUUCUUGCUUGCAGGGACAUUCACUUGUGUUUUUUUUAAUUAAUUAGUUUCAGCUGUUCACAUGCUCCAUGUUCACGUCCCAUGAAUGUCCCAGCAAGCGAGUUUCAAAAGCAAAUUUUAAACAAAUUGAGCAAAAUUUGUCAUUUCAAGCAUUUGCGCCCCAGCAGAGUUACACUCAUGCAGUCAAGCGACAGAAACAUACCAUGUAACUUAUGUGUCCAAUCAAAAUAGCUCCGAUUUCGAAUGUCUAACAUUUCCAGUGGGUUGUCACAAAUGCCCUGCAGGCCAAUAGUUAUUCCCAAGAAGCUAUUUGGAGUAAAAAUAAAUUCAAGAAAAUUUUUAUCUCUCUGUGGACAGGAAAAGGUGACACUUGUUGAAUAAAUUAUUAUUUAUGAAUUCCUUGCUCAGCUCUAAUUAUGGCAAGUAAAUCAGAGUAAGCAUACAUGAGCUAAAACAAUUCAUACAAGAUUCUACAUGUAUCUAUGUUUAUAAUA